This 258-nucleotide long non-coding RNA is filed under the name Ananas comosus (pineapple). RNAcentral's name for it is "long non-coding RNA (ACOM_LNC021732)". The record is from RNAcentral. Lineage: Eukaryota; Viridiplantae; Streptophyta; Magnoliopsida; Poales; Bromeliaceae.
CUAAUCUUAGGGUGUGUGUGGUUCGAAGUCGGAAUCGGAAUCGGAAUCGCAAUCAAAAUAAGCUGGAAUCGGAAUCGGAAUUACUCAUUACUUAAUUCUAUUUGGUUCAUCACCUGAAUCGGAAUUGGAAUAAACCACUCCCAUUGUCGGUGUUUGAUUCAGGUGGAUAUAAAAAACGUAAUCAAAUUAAUAUACUAACAUUAUCUUUAUAAUAUAUUAAUUUAAAUUCAAAUUAAAAAUUAAAUAUUAAAAAUUUAC